AGUUCGAUCCUGGCUCAAGAUGAACGCUGGCGGCAUGCCUAAUACAUGCCAGUCAAACCAAGUUUCUAGGAAUCUUGCUUCCCAAGAGACUUACUGGCGAACGGGUGAGUAACACAUUUGUAACCAUGCCCAUGUGUCCGGGAUAACUGCUGGAAACGGUAACUAAAACCGGAUAGGUAUGCAGAGCGCAUGCUCAGUAUAUUCAAGCGCCCAUCAAGUCGUGAACAUGGAUGUACGUGCGGCGCAUUAGCUAGUUGGUGAGGUAACGGCUCACCCAGGCGAUGAUCCGUAGCCGGCGUGAGUGGGUAACCGGCCACAUAGGGAGUGAGACACCACCCAAACUCAUACGGGAGCCAGCAUUAGGGAAUUUUCGUCAAUGGGGGAUACCCUGCACGAGCAAUGCCCCGUGAGUGAAGAAGGUGUUCGAAUGGUAAAGUUUUGUUGUAAGUGAAGAUCGGUUCAUAGAGGAAAUACUGUGGGAGCGACGGUAGGUUGCCCGAAAGCCAUGGCUACCUACGUCCCAGCAGCCGCGGUAAUAGCUAGGUGGCUAGCGUUAUCCGGAAUCAUUGGGGGUAAAGGGUGGGUAGGCGGCUUAGUAAGUAAGUAGUAAAAGUCAAUGGCUCAACCAUUGUAAGCUAUGGAAACUGGUAUGCUGGAGUGCAGAAGAGGGCGAUGGAAUUCCAUGUGUAGCGGUAAAAUGCGUAGAUAUAUGGAGGAACACCAGUGGCGAAGGCGGUCGCCUGGUCUGUAACUGACACUGAGGCACGAAAGCGUGGGGAGCAAAUAGGAUUAGAUACCCUAGUAGUCCACGCCGUAAACGAUGAGAACUAAGUGUUGGAGGAAUUCAGUGCUGCAGUUAACGCAAUAAGUUCUCCGCCUGGGGAGUAUGCACGCAAGUGUGAAACUCAAAGGAAUUGACGGGGGCCCGCACAAGCGGUGGAGUAUGUGGUUUAAUUCGAAGCAACGCGAAGAACCUUACCAGGCCUUGACAUGGAAACAAAUACCCUAGAGAUAGGGGGAUAAUUAUGGAUCACACAGGUGGUGCAUGGUUGUCGUCAGCUCGUGUCGUGAGAUGUUGGGUUAAGUCCCGCAACGAGCGCAACCCUUGUCGCAUGUUACCAGCAUCAAGUCGGGGACUCAUGCGAGACUGCCGGUGACAAACCGGAGGAAGGUGGGGAUGACGUCAAAUCAUCAUGCCCCUCAUGGCCUGGGCUACACACGUACUACAAUGGCGGCCACAAAGAGCAGCGACACAGUGAUGUGAAGCAGAAUCUCAUAAAGGUCGUCUCAGUUCGGAUUGAAGUGUGCAACUCGACUUCAUGAAGUCGGAAUCGCUAGUAAUCGCAGAUCAGCAUGAAGCGGUGAACCAGUUCCCGGCUCUUGCACACACCGCCCGUCA
This 1399-nucleotide ribosomal RNA is filed under the name uncultured bacterium. RNAcentral describes it as "16S ribosomal RNA". It matches the Rfam family "Bacterial small subunit ribosomal RNA". The record is from RNAcentral.